AUACGGAGGGGGUUAGCGUUGUUCGGAAUUACUGGGCGUAAAGCGCACGUAGGCGGAAUGUUAAGUUAGAAGUGAAAUCCCAGGGCUCAACCCUGGAACUGCCUUUAAUACUGGCAAUCUAGAGACCGAGAGAGGUGAGUGGAAUUCCGAGUGUAGAGGUGAAAUUCGUAGAUAUUCGGAGGAACACCAGUGGCGAAGGCGGCUCACUGGCUCGGUACUGACGCUGAGGUGCGAAAGCGUGGGGAGCAAACAGGAUUAGAAACCCUAGUAGUCC
This 274-nucleotide ribosomal RNA is filed under the name uncultured bacterium. RNAcentral's name for it is "partial 16S ribosomal RNA". It matches the Rfam family "Bacterial small subunit ribosomal RNA", at positions 523 to 796 of the family's 1533-position model. The record is from RNAcentral.